GGCCCCAUCGUCUAGAGGCCAAGGACAUCGCCCUCUCACGGCGAAAACCCGGGUUCGAAUCCCGGUGGGGUCACCC
RNAcentral lists this transfer RNA (76 nucleotides) under uncultured Rubrobacteraceae bacterium. RNAcentral describes it as "tRNA-Glu-CTC". It matches the Rfam family "tRNA". From Rfam's summary of the family: Transfer RNA (tRNA) molecules are approximately 80 nucleotides in length. Their secondary structure includes four short double-helical elements and three loops (D, anti-codon, and T loops). The record is from RNAcentral. Lineage: Bacteria; Bacillati; Actinomycetota; Rubrobacteria; Rubrobacterales; Rubrobacteraceae.